Molecule: long non-coding RNA, 453 nt
Organism: Vidua chalybeata
Lineage: Eukaryota; Metazoa; Chordata; Aves; Passeriformes; Viduidae
Exons: 4
Source: RefSeq, a predicted model, not a curated record
GGGGACUGGACCCCAGUCUGAUCAUCAUGCUGCAUGGGCCUCUGCUCACAGGAAGACACCUACAUCAGGGUGCUUUUAGGUGGCAAACAACCCUGCCCCAAGGUCAAACUUAAAUUGUGUUGGAGGAAAACACUGUGCCUCAGGGGAGAGAGACACUCACAACAGAAACCUGUUCCAUUUCUUUCAUCGUCUCUUGGAGGCAGAGAAAAACCAAGAUCAAGGAGAAACCCUCUCCUUGCUGCCAGCCUUGACCCCAAUGCCCAGCAAAAGGAAUCACAGCUUGUGGACUGAAAUAUGUCUCUGCUGAAUAUUCACCAGCACCAAAGGCAGCUGACAUCCCCAAAACUUCUGGGAGGCUUUUGCAGAGGUUCACACAAUUCUCCAGAGCCUGACCAGCAGCAGCCAUUUCACUCAACGGUCCUUUGGGAGAAAAGAGGCAGCAGCCUCCAAGUA